This 253-nucleotide ribosomal RNA is filed under the name uncultured bacterium. Its description in RNAcentral is "partial 16S ribosomal RNA". It matches the Rfam family "Bacterial small subunit ribosomal RNA", at positions 524 to 776 of the family's 1533-position model. The record is from RNAcentral.
UACGUAGGUGGCAAGCGUUGUCCGGAAUUAUUGGGCGUAAAGCGCGCGCAGGCGGUCCUUUGAGUCUGAUGUGAAAGCCCACGGCUCAACCGUGGAGGGUCAUUGGAAACUGGGGGACUUGAGUGCAGAAGAGGAGAGUGGAAUUCCACGUGUAGCGGUGAAAUGCGUAGAGAUGUGGAGGAACACCAGUGGCGAAGGCGACUCUCUGGUCUGUAACUGACGCUGAGGCGCGAAAGCGUGGGGAGCAAACAGG